GGAAAGUUUAGUGGGCGAACGGGUGCGUAACACGUGGGCAAUCUGCCUUAAAGUGGGGGAUAGCUCGGCGAAAGCCGAAUUAAUACCGCAUGUGAUUAGAGGUGACAUCACUUCGACAUCAAAGCCGGAGCAAUCUGGCGCUUUCUGUGGAGCCCGCGGCCUAUCAGCUUGUUGGUGAGGUAACGGCUCACUCAAGGCUUUGACGGGUAGCUGGUCUGAGAGGACGACCAGUCACACUGGAACUGAGACACGGUCCAGACACCUACGGGUGGCAGCAGUCGAGAAUUUUUGACAAUGGGGGAAACCCUGAUCGAGCGACGCCGCGUGGAGGAUGAAGGUCUUCGGGUUGUAAACUCCUGUCAUUUGGGAACAAGCUCUUCACGUUAACUGCGUGGAGAUUGAUAGUACCAGAAGAGGAAGAGACGGCUAACUCUGUGCCAGCAGCCGCGGUAAUACAGAGGUCUCAAGCGUUGUUCGGAUUCAUUGGGCGUAAAGGGUGUGUAGGUGGCGCGCUAAGUCGGGUGUGAAAUUUUGGAGCUUAACUCCGAAACUGCAUUCGAUACUGGCGUGCUUGAGGACUGGAGAGGAGACUGGAAUUCAUGGUGUAGCAGUGAAAUGCGUAGAGAUCAUGAGGAAGACCAGUGGCGAAGGCGGGUCUCUGGACAGUUCCUGACACUGAGACACGAAGGCCAGGGGAGCAAACGGGAUUAGAUACCCCGGUAGUNCCUGGCAGUAAACGCUUGCACGUUUGGUGUGGGAGGAUUCGACCCCUUCUGCGCCGGAGACUAACGCGUUAAACGUGCCGUC
Molecule: ribosomal RNA, 807 nt
Filed under: uncultured Xiphinematobacteriaceae bacterium
Lineage: Bacteria; Pseudomonadati; Verrucomicrobiota; Spartobacteria
Description: bacterial SSU rRNA
Rfam family: Bacterial small subunit ribosomal RNA
Source: RNAcentral